RNAcentral lists this ribosomal RNA (460 nucleotides) under uncultured bacterium. RNAcentral describes it as "partial 16S ribosomal RNA". It matches the Rfam family "Bacterial small subunit ribosomal RNA", at positions 338 to 795 of the family's 1533-position model. The record is from RNAcentral.
CCUACGGGAGACUGCAGUGAGGAAUAUUGGUCAAUGGACGAGAGUCUGAACCAGCCAAGUAGCGUGAAGGAUGACUGCCCUAUGGGUUGUAAACUUCUUUUAUAUGGGAAUAAAAUGUUCCACGUGUGGGAUUUUGUAUGUACCAUAUGAAUAAGGAUCGGCUAACUCCGUGCCAGCAGCCGCGGUAAUACGGAGGAUCCGAGCGUUAUCCGGAUUUAUUGGGUUUAAAGGGAGCGUAGGUGGCUUGUUAAGUCAGUGGUGAAAGUUUGCGGCUCAACCGUAAAAUUGCAGUUGAAACUGGCAGUCUUGAGUACGGUAGAGGUGGGCGGAAUUCGUGGUGUAGCGGCGAAAUGCUUAGAUAUCACGAAGAACUCCGAUUGCGAAGGCAGUUCACUAGACUACGACUGACGCUGAGGCUCGAAAGUGUGGGGAUCAAACAGGAUUAGAUACCCUUGUAGUC